AGCGAACGCUGGCGGCAGGCUUAACACAUGCAAGUCGAACGCAUCCUUCGGGGUGAGUGGCAGACGGGUGAGUAACACGUGGGAACGUACCCUUCGAUCUGGGAUAACUUCGGGAAACUGGAGCUAAUACCGGAUACGCCCUUUUGGGGAAAGGUUUACUGUCGAAGGAUCGGCCCGCGUCUGAUUAGCUAGUUGGUGGGGUAACGGCCUACCAAGGCGACGAUCAGUAGCUGGUCUGAGAGGAUGAUCAGCCACACUGGGACUGAGACACGGCCCAGACUUCUACGGGAGGCAGCAGUGGGGAAUAUUGGACAAUGGGCGCAAGCCUGAUCCAGCCAUGCCGCGUGAGUGAUGAAGGCCUUAGGGUUGUAAAGCUCUUUUGUCCGGGACGAUAAUGACGGUACCGGAAGAAUAAGCCCCGGCUAACUUCGUG
RNAcentral lists this ribosomal RNA (433 nucleotides) under uncultured bacterium. RNAcentral describes it as "partial 16S ribosomal RNA". It matches the Rfam family "Bacterial small subunit ribosomal RNA", at positions 29 to 507 of the family's 1533-position model. The record is from RNAcentral.